RNAcentral lists this ribosomal RNA (253 nucleotides) under uncultured bacterium. Its description in RNAcentral is "partial 16S ribosomal RNA". It matches the Rfam family "Bacterial small subunit ribosomal RNA", at positions 524 to 776 of the family's 1533-position model. The record is from RNAcentral.
UACGAAGGGUGCAGGCGUUACUCGGAAUUACUGGGCGUAAAGCGUGCGUAGGCGGUUUGUUAAGUCUGUCGUGAAAGCCCCGGGCUCAACCUGGGAAUGGCGAUGGAUACUGGCGAGCUAGAGUACGGUAGAGGAGAGUGGAAUUCCCGGUGUAGCAGUGAAAUGCGUAGAGAUCGGGAGGAACAUCAGUUGCGAAGGCGGCUUUCUGGACCAGUACUGACGCUGAGGCACGAAAGCGUGGGGAGCAAACAGG